GGAACAUCCACAAUUAUGCCAUCCUGAUCCUGUAACACUUGGUCAUCGUCAAUUUCUCUUCAGAAAAUUAAAAAUGUUGGUUUCAAUCAAGCUACCACUGUCUUGUUCUUGGAUAAGGUAAUGGGUAUUACUGGUUUUGCGAUUUCAGAAAAUAAUGCCAGACAUUCAAGUUGGGAGCUGUCUGGUAAAUUGAAGACAAAUUUCAAUGCUUUCAAUCAUUGAUAAGGUUACUGGUACUUGAAACUCAGGUAUGAAGUUGUUCCAGGAUACCAUUAUUUCUAGUAGAAUCAUGGGAAAUUUUAAUGGUAAGAAUUGAUGAUAGAAGAACAUUAUCAAUCCAUUUACCAAUCUUUACUUCAAGAUAGCUAUGUGCAUAAAUUUGUUACAGGAAAAACCCAUAUCUUGGAGGUGAUGAACUGCAGAACUGAAGCAAUGAACCUUUGUAUGAGCAUGCAGACAAUUGGACUUUCCUUUUCCAUGGAAAGUUUUGAAAUAACAACACUAGUCUAGUCUAGUGGGUAGCUUUCUAUGCAGAGGAAGUCAAAUAUAAUCAAGGGGAGCACCAACAGCCAUUAAACUUGAAAAAUCAUUUAAUAUAUGCUUCCUUCCUUCUUUCUUUUUAAACAUUUCUCAUGUCCACUAAUCUGAAUAGCAGAUUCAUGCAUGAUCCUAAAUUUCUUUAUGUCUGUACUUUCAUGUGUUCAAUUAGACUGCUUUCUAGAGCAUAUAUUUCCUCUCUAUAAAUACAUGGAUCCUAUUCUCUAUAAAUAAGAAAAACUAAAAUUUUGUAUCUAAAGGAGCACUAUAUUUUAGUACUCAUACUGUAAAUUAUAAUUCUCUAAAUAUAUAAUACGAUAUGAUUUGUAGUACUACGAG
This 876-nucleotide unclassified non-coding RNA is filed under the name Hevea brasiliensis (rubber tree). Lineage: Eukaryota; Viridiplantae; Streptophyta; Magnoliopsida; Malpighiales; Euphorbiaceae. The record is from RNAcentral.